RNAcentral lists this ribosomal RNA (547 nucleotides) under uncultured beta proteobacterium. RNAcentral describes it as "bacterial SSU rRNA". It matches the Rfam family "Bacterial small subunit ribosomal RNA", at positions 933 to 1479 of the family's 1533-position model. Lineage: Bacteria; Pseudomonadati; Pseudomonadota; Betaproteobacteria. The record is from RNAcentral.
UGGAUGAUGUGGAUUAAUUCGAUGCAACGCGAAAAACCUUACCUACCCUUGACAUGCCAGGAACCCUGCUGAGAGGUGGGGGUGCUCGAAAGAGAGCCUGGGCACAGGUGCUGCAUGGCUGUCGUCAGCUCGUGUCGUGAGAUGUUGGGUUAAGUCCCGCAACGAGCGCAACCCUUGUCAUUAGUUGCCAUCAUUUAGUUGGGCACUCUAAUGAGACUGCCGGUGACAAACCGGAGGAAGGUGGGGAUGACGUCAAGUCCUCAUGGCCCUUAUGGGUAGGGCUUCACACGUCAUACAAUGGUCGGUACAGAGGGUUGCCAAGCCGCGAGGUGGAGCCAAUCCCAGAAAGCCGAUCGUAGUCCGGAUCGUAGUCUGCAACUCGACUGCGUGAAGUCGGAAUCGCUAGUAAUCGUGGAUCAGCAUGCCACGGUGAAUACGUUCCCGGGUCUUGUACACACCGCCCGUCACACCAUGGGAGUGGGUUUCACCAGAAGUAGGUAGCCUAACCGCGAGGGGGGCGCUUACCACGGUGGGAUUCAUGACUGGG